CAGCCGCCACGGUAAUACGAAGGGUGCAAGCGUUAAUCGGAAUUACUGGGCGUAAAGCGUGCGUAGGCGGUGAGUUAAGUCUGCUGUGAAAUCCCCGGGCUCAACCUGGGAAUGGCAGUGGAUACUGGCUCGCUAGAGUGUGUCAGAGGAUGGUGGAAUUCCCGGUGUAGCGGUGAAAUGCGUAGAGAUCAGGAGGAACAUCAGUGGCGAAGGCGGCCAUCUGGGACAACACUGACGCUGAGGCACGAAAGCGUGGGGAGCAAACAGGAUUAGAUACCCCAGUAGUCCCUGUUUCUUAUAC
RNAcentral lists this ribosomal RNA (301 nucleotides) under uncultured bacterium. RNAcentral's name for it is "partial 16S ribosomal RNA". It matches the Rfam family "Bacterial small subunit ribosomal RNA", at positions 509 to 807 of the family's 1533-position model. The record is from RNAcentral.